CCUGCCGGAGGUACUGCUAUCGGUGUUUGACUAAGUCAUGCGAGUCAAAUGUUCUUCGUGAACAUGGCGCAAUGCUCAGUAACACGUGGAUAACCUGCCCUCAGGUCCGGCAUAAUCUCGGGAAACUGAGGAUAAUUUCCGGAUAUCCCUUUUCUGUUGGAAGACUUAAAGGGACAAAGAAUUUCGCCUGAGGAUGGGUCUGCGGCCUAUCAGGUUGUAGGGGGUGUAAGGUACCUCCUAGCCGACGACGGGUACGGGUUGUGAGAGCAAGAGCCCGGAGAUGGAUUCUGAGACAUGAAUCCAGGCCCUACGGGGCGCAGCAGGCGCGAAAACUUUACAAUGCAGGAAACUGUGAUAAGGAGACACCGAGUGCUCGCAUCAAAUGCGGGCUGUCCGCUUACUUAAAUCGUAAGCGUUAGCAAGGGCCGGGCAAGACCGGUGCCAGCCGCCGCGGUAAUACCGGUGGCCCGAGUGGUAGCCGCUUUUAUUGGGUCUAAAGGGUCCGUAGCCGGUUCGGUCAGUCCAUUGGGAAAUCCGGAUGCUCAACAUCCGGGCUUCCAGUGGAUACUGCCGAACUUGGGAUCGGGGGAGGUAAGAGGUACUAUAGGGGUAGGAGUGAAAUCUUGUAAUCCCUGUGGGACCACCUGUGGCGAAGGCGUCUUACCAAAACGAGUCCGACGGUGAGGGACGAAAGCUGGGGGCACGAACCGGAUUAGAUACCCGGGUAGUCCCAGCCGUAAACGAUGCUCGCUAGGUGUCAGGCAUGGCGUGACUGUGUUUGGUGCCGAAGGGAAGCCGUGAAGCGAGCCACCUGGGAAGUACGGCCGCAAGGCUGAAACUUAAAGGAAUUGGCGGGGGAGCAC
Molecule: ribosomal RNA, 863 nt
Filed under: uncultured archaeon
Lineage: Archaea
Description: bacterial SSU rRNA
Rfam family: Archaeal small subunit ribosomal RNA
Source: RNAcentral